This 841-nucleotide long non-coding RNA is filed under the name Ananas comosus (pineapple). RNAcentral describes it as "long non-coding RNA (ACOM_LNC043378)". The record is from RNAcentral. Lineage: Eukaryota; Viridiplantae; Streptophyta; Magnoliopsida; Poales; Bromeliaceae.
UGGCGACAAUAGUCGGCAUCAUAAAACUAGUCAUAAAAUAAACUGCUAAUUAUGUAAAGUUUUUGCGGCGACAGUAUGUCGCCCCUAAUUAUCUAACUUUUAGCGACGACAAAUUGUCGCCACCAAAUAUUCCGGUCCGGGUCCAACGUGGUUCUAGCAGUGACACCAUGUCGCCGGUAAUUAUCUAACUUUUCACAGCAACUGCAUGUUGCUGCUAAUUAUCUAACUUUUUGCGGCGACAAAUUGUCGCUACCAAAUAGUUUUAUUGACGAGGUUUUAGGCGGCGGCAUGUGGCGACAAAUUGUCGCCGCCAAAACGUUUUUCGUGGCGACAAAUUUGGCUAUGGAUGGUUAGAAAGUUAGGAGUACAAUAUAUACACACACACACAUAUACAUAUACAUAUAUAGAGUGAGCUGGUAUGCUUCUGGAAGCACGAAACCUUCUGUGCUUCCAAGUCGUUUUCGAUGUGGGGACUUUCGAAUCGACGAUCGGCUCCGUUAAACUUGAUCUAGAGUAUUUGAAAUACCUAGAAAAUAAAUUUUGUAAUUUUUCGAUAUCAUUUGCUUAGUGAUCGAAAGGGCUUAAAAUUAAUAAUUUUAAUGGCCGUGGUGAGCCGUUUGUAAGUUUAACGGUGUAGAAAUAUCCAAAUCACGUGAAAUUUUGAUCGAAAAUUCUUUAUACUAUAUAAAACAAGAUUAAUAUUUUUGAUCUAAAAUUUUAAUGUCAUAUCAUCAUAUUUUGUAAAAUUUUUAUUUUCAGCCGUUGAUUUUGAGUCACUUCGAUCACUAGGCCAAUGAUAUCAAAAAAUCGCAAAUUUAUUUUCUAGAUUCUUAUAAUACUC